Phragmites australis (common reed) is the source of this 1705-nucleotide long non-coding RNA. RefSeq lists it as uncharacterized. The transcript has 3 exons. Lineage: Eukaryota; Viridiplantae; Streptophyta; Magnoliopsida; Poales; Poaceae. The record is from RefSeq and is a predicted model, not a curated record.
ACGGCUCAGAUUGACGAAGGGGAGGGCAGAGAUGGCGACACUGGCGGCGGAAAGGAACGCGGCGGUGCUCUGGCGGACGGCGGUGGCGAAGGUGACGGAGGAUCCGGCGGAAAGUAUCUUCUUGAGCGGAAAAGGUCGAAUCUUGGAGGGGCAGUUUAGCUAGAUCCAAGAAAAUGGGCAGCACAGGAAACUAGAGGUAGGUGAUGCAUGAACAUACGUGGAGAAGGAUCCGCAGAGAGACGAGCUGCCGGUCACGUUCCUGGAGAAGCCCGGCAAAGGCGCGUUGCUCCCUCACUUUUUGCAGGAAGACGAGGCUCAGCGCGGCUGCUGCGAGGGCCAGCAGCAGCAGGAGCAUGUAGGAUCUUGGCUUUGUUUGCUGAAGGCCUGCAGCAAUGUGAAGGAGCUGCAGCUGCAGCUACACUUCCUUGGUUCUCUUGGGUUUGGGAGUGGCAGGGCUUUGCAGCGUUUCUUGUGCAUCGAGGUCACUGGUUAGGAGGAGACACAGCUGAGCCUUUGAGGUGGUGCUCUGCACUACUCAUAUGCUAAUUGCACAUGCCCCUAAGUGCUAGUCUAUUUUAGAUUUUAUUUAUUUUUAGCCAUGGAAUAAAUCAAUAUGAUGACGUGCCAUUGACUUGCACUUACUGGGGAGGAUUUUUACUGCAUGCAGUUGAGAAGUGGCUAAUGAGUACUGAGUACUGACAACUGCACCUGUGCAUGCUCUGGACCAUCCGAUCUCGCAUUGUAUGGUCCAGGCUGAGCACCCUGGAGGUUCAAACUUGUGCGAGAGAUUACCGACGGUUUUGCAGUAAUGUGAUUUCUUCUCUGCCUGCAGAUCACCGAAUUCUGAAGUCAACAUCGAUGUAAGAUGGCAAUAAAUGAGUGGAGAUUCUUCUAUGCUUCUUCUCAGAUCUCCAUACAGAGAUCGCCUCAGGAUGAGUAAUCUAUUCGUGGAGCAGCAGCACGGUUAGUGCUCCACCGUGCAGGAUCCAAUAUCUUAGACCUGAGGCUCCAUCAAAGAACGUGUGAAAUGCUAACUAAUGGAUCCAGUUCCAAACCUAUGUUAGCUAGUCCCAAAGUCCAAAUGGAAUUGCCAGGAAAAUAGUACACUUGGUAGUAGCAGUAUCACUGAAGUAGCUGCCAGCUUACAGCCAUGUGAUUGAUGUGAGAAAAUUUCUACUUUAGACGAGGAGAUCGAUGGCACCUUGACUCCAAAAGAAGCACCUGUACAUGUUACAGACUGGGAGCAGAUUACAGAUAGCAACAGGUUGAUUAAGGAAGUAUUUAUGCCAAAAAAUGGUGAUUAGUUGUGAACUGUGAACACAACGGUUGGAGGUUGCAACCGCAGGUGAGUGUUGAUGGGCUUCACGUCUCCCUCGAUGAGAACCAACGACAUGCCAGCAACAUUCCUUGCAUGCAUGAUGAACCGGGGACUCUGUCGUGUGCUCUGCACGAACUGCUGGUUCGUGGUGUACUUGAUAAGAAGUGGAGCAAAGGUCUAAUAAAAUGUUGCUGGAUUCAUUAUGCGUCCAUGUUCUUGGGAAGCGUCGUUUUAUUUAAAAUGUUUGCCCAUCGAUGAAAUCAAGAAUAUUGUAACAUUCGUGGUCUCUACCCUUACAUCAGUAUUGUGCAAGAGGUUGAAUGAUUGUAGUAUGUCAUUUGAUAGAUCAUUUCUUAACUUCUAUUCAGAUUUACUGCUUUGUUGGUC